UUCCUAUGCAUAUACUUCUUUGUGGAUCUGGUCUAAAGAGGUAUAGCGCAUGGGAAGA
Molecule: microRNA precursor, 58 nt
Filed under: Mus musculus (house mouse)
Lineage: Eukaryota; Metazoa; Chordata; Mammalia; Rodentia; Muridae
Description: Mmu-Mir-202_pre stem-loop
Rfam family: mir-202 microRNA precursor family
Source: RNAcentral